CCUGGAUGAUCCUGCCAGUAGCACAUGCUUGUCUCAAAGAUUAAGCCAUGCAUGUCUAAGUACACACGGGCGUGACAGUGAAACUGCGAAUGGCUCAUUAAAUCAGUUAUGGUUCCUUUGGUCGCUCCCACCAUUACUCGGAUAACUGUGAGAUCGGAAGAGGAC
Crotalus tigris (Tiger rattlesnake) is the source of this 165-nucleotide long non-coding RNA. RefSeq lists it as uncharacterized. Lineage: Eukaryota; Metazoa; Chordata; Lepidosauria; Squamata; Viperidae. The transcript has 3 exons. The record is from RefSeq and is a predicted model, not a curated record.